CAUGUAGGUGGCUAAUUAAGUCAGGUGUGAAAUCCUUCCGCUUAACGGAAGAAGUGCACUUGAAACUGCUUAGCUAGAGUACGGGAGAGGAAGGUGGAAUUCCUGGUGUAGAGGUGAAAUUCAUAGAUAUCGGGAAGAACACCGGUGGCGAAGGCGGCCUUCUGGCCCGAUACUGACGCUGAGACGCGAAAGCGUGGGGAGCAAACA
Molecule: ribosomal RNA, 207 nt
Filed under: uncultured bacterium
Lineage: Bacteria
Description: partial 16S ribosomal RNA
Rfam family: Bacterial small subunit ribosomal RNA
Source: RNAcentral